GAUGAACGCUGGCGGCGUGCCUAAUACAUGCAAGUCGAGCGAACAGACGAGGAGCUUGCUCCUCUGACGUUAGCGGCGGACGGGUGAGUAACACGUGGAUAACCUACCUAUAAGACUUGGAUAACUUCGGGAAACCGGAGCUAAUACCGGAUAACAUGUUGAACCGCAUGGUUCAACAGUGAAAGACGGUUUUGCUGUCACUUAUAGAUGGAUCCGCGCCGCAUUAGCUAGUUGGUAAGGUAACGGCUUACCAAGGCAACGAUGCGUAGCCGACCUGAGAGGGUGAUCGGCCACACUGGAACUGAGACACGGUCCAGACUCCUACGGGAGGCAGCAGUAGGGAAUCUUCCGCAAUGGGCGAAAGCCUGACGGAGCAACGCCGCGUGAGUGAAGAAGGUCUUCGGAUCGUAAAACUCUGUUAUUAGGGAAGAACAAAUGUGUAAGUAACUAUGCACGUCUUGACGGUACCUAAUCAGAAAGCCACGGCUAACUACGUG
This 497-nucleotide ribosomal RNA is filed under the name uncultured bacterium. RNAcentral describes it as "partial 16S ribosomal RNA". It matches the Rfam family "Bacterial small subunit ribosomal RNA", at positions 28 to 507 of the family's 1533-position model. The record is from RNAcentral.